Molecule: non-coding RNA, 25 nt
Filed under: Cricetulus griseus (Chinese hamster)
Lineage: Eukaryota; Metazoa; Chordata; Mammalia; Rodentia; Cricetidae
Source: RNAcentral
CAGGAGCAGUAGGAGGAGGAUACGG